RNAcentral lists this ribosomal RNA (253 nucleotides) under uncultured bacterium. Its description in RNAcentral is "partial 16S ribosomal RNA". It matches the Rfam family "Bacterial small subunit ribosomal RNA", at positions 524 to 776 of the family's 1533-position model. The record is from RNAcentral.
UACGUAGGGACCAAGCGUUGUUCGGAUUUACUGGGCGUAAAGGGCGCGUAGGCGGCUUAACAAGUCACUUGUGAAAUCUCCGGGCUUAACUCGGAACUGCCAAGUGAAACUGUCAAGCUAGAGUGCAGAAGGGGCAAUCGGAAUUCUUGGUGUAGCGGUGAAAUGCGUAGAUAUCAAGAGGAACACCUGAGGCGAAGGCGGGUUGCUAGGCUGACACUGACGCUGAGGCGCGAAGGCUAGGGGAGCAAACAGG